RNAcentral lists this ribosomal RNA (497 nucleotides) under uncultured bacterium. Its description in RNAcentral is "partial 16S ribosomal RNA". It matches the Rfam family "Bacterial small subunit ribosomal RNA", at positions 28 to 507 of the family's 1533-position model. The record is from RNAcentral.
GAUGAACGCUGGCGGCGUGCCUAAUACAUGCAAGUCGAGCGGACGGACGAGAAUCUUGCUUCUCUGAUGUUAGCGGCGGACGUGUGAGUAACACGUGGAUAACCUACCUAUAAGACUGGGAUAACUUCGUGAAACCGGUGCUAAUACCGGAUAAUAUUUUGAACCGGAUGGUUCAAAAGUAAAAGAGGGUCUUGCUGUCCCUUAUAGAUGGAUCCGCGCUGCAUUAGCUAGUUGGUAAGGUAACGGCUUACCAAGGCAGCGAUGCAUAGCCGACCUGAGAGGGGGAACGCCCACUGUGAGACUGAGACGCGGUCCAGGCACCUACGGGAGGCAGCAGUAGGGAAUCUUGCGCGAUGGGCGAAAGCCUGACGGAGCAACGGCGCGUGAGUGAUGAAGGUCUUCGGAUCGGAAAACUCUGUUAUUAGUGAAGACCAUAUGUGUAAGUAGCUGUGCACAUCUUGACGGUACCUGAUGAGAAAGCAACGGCUAACUACGUG